CCAGAGCAGAUGUAACUCAGUGAGCGACGGGAUAAGACACAUUCAAGAUGAACAUGCUUCGAAGGACGUUGAUUGCUGCGUUGUCCUUGCUACUCCUCGCCCUCUCUGUGGCGGCGCAGGUCACAUCCAGCCGAGGACCGAAUUCUUUACCUGGUUUUAGGAACAGGCUUGGAUUCAGGGGGAGACUUGGUCUUUUGAGGCCUCACUUUGACGAUCGCUUCUGGCACGAUUUUGAUAUCCAUGGUUUCACUAGAUACGGAUAAAACCCAAUGGUGAGAAACAAGGCUUUUGAAUCCGCGUACCCAGGCCUCAGAAAUUUCCUUAAAAAAAAAAAAAAAAAAAAAAACGUUUUCGAGUCUAAGGAUUAAAUAUACCGAGGAUGGCAUUGAUUGAGAGUACUGUAAUAAAAAAAACAAAAAAAACUCUUGUUAUGAAUUCUGUUCAGGAGAUUGAAUUCAUCAAGAGACCUGAGUGUGUGAGGUGAAUCAAUGGUAAUUUUUUUUUUUUGCAUAUUUGUCUGUUAACAUUUAAGGGUAUAUUUUUUUACUAUGAGAGUUUCCAAGAUUAUAUGUCUAUUCAAAGGAAUUUAGUAUUCUACAUCCUACCUAUAUCAAAUUUCAGUUUACAUAACUUUGAAAAAAACAAUUACAAUGUAGAUAUCGCUUUUAUUAAAAAGCUGACAUCUGUAAUUAUCUUUUGCUCAUUAAUACUUGCCUCUUUUUCUUAAUUUCCUCCUUGUUUAUAUUUCUUUUCAUCUUUUAAUAUGAAACUAUCGAUUAGAUAUAUUACAGGAGAUCCUUUCAAGAAAAUGUUAACGUUAUGAUUGCUAUUUGUAAUGUGAAUUAUAUCAUCAUAGGUUUGUUAUUUAUAUUUCGUGUGGAUUUUCGUUAUGAAUGCUUGUCUGUGUGUAGGUAGUUGUAUAGUAUAUAGUCUUAAUAUAAGCCAAAUGUGCACUGUUGCGAUAGAUAGCAAAUUAGUGUAUAAACUACAAUAAAGUUAUUUCUUUUU
This 1008-nucleotide long non-coding RNA is filed under the name Penaeus chinensis. Its description in RNAcentral is "uncharacterized LOC125027095, transcript variant X1". The record is from RNAcentral. Lineage: Eukaryota; Metazoa; Arthropoda; Malacostraca; Decapoda; Penaeidae.